GUUUGUAGUAUACAGCUGUGUACAUUUGUAUUUGGCGGAUCCGAGAGGAGCUGACGAGCUCGGACUCCGGACCGUGGCUCCAGGAGAUGUCCUAGUAGCA
This is a non-coding RNA of Cricetulus griseus (Chinese hamster), 100 nucleotides long. The record is from Rfam. Lineage: Eukaryota; Metazoa; Chordata; Mammalia; Rodentia; Cricetidae.